UGGGGAAUAUUGCACAAUGGAGGGAACUCUGAUGCAGCAACGCCGCGUGCGGGAUGACGGCCUUCGGGUUGUAAACCGCUUUCAGCCAUGACGAAGCUUUUGUGACGGUAGUGGUAGAAGAAGCACCGGCUAACUACGUGCCAGCAGCCGCGGUGAUACGUAGGGUGCGAGCGUUGUCCGGAAUUAUUGGGCGUAAAGAGCUUGCAGGCGGUUUGUCGCGUCGAUAGUGUAAACACGCAGCUUAACUGUGUGCCUGCUGUCGAUACGGGCUGACUAGAGGAGGGUAGGGGAGAAUGGAAUUCCCGGUGGAGCGGUGGAAUGCGCAGAUAUCGGGAGGAACACCAGUGGCGAAGGCGGUUCUCUGGACCUUUCCUGACGCUGAGAAGCGAAAGCGUGGGUAGCAAACAGG
RNAcentral lists this ribosomal RNA (409 nucleotides) under Fusobacteriota bacterium. RNAcentral's name for it is "Fusobacteria bacterium partial 16S ribosomal RNA". It matches the Rfam family "Bacterial small subunit ribosomal RNA", at positions 355 to 776 of the family's 1533-position model. Lineage: Bacteria; Fusobacteriati; Fusobacteriota. The record is from RNAcentral.